CCUGCCCGGUGACUUAGUGUUAAACGGCCGCGGUAUCCUAACCGUGCAAAGGUAGCGCAAUCAAUUGCCUCAUAAAUCGAGGCCUGUAUGAAUGGCUAAACGAGGUCUUAACUGUCUCUUACAGGCGAUCGGUGAAAUUGAUCUCCCUGUGCGAAAGCAGGGAUAACAACAUAAGACGAGAAGACCCUGUGGAACUUAAAAAUCAGCAGCCACCCUAGAACACAUUCAAUCCCACUGGGUUCACGCAUUUAUAGGCUAUUGGCCUGCAUUUUUCGGUUGGGGCGACCUUGGAGAAAAACAAAUCCUCCAAAUACUGGACCACACCUCCAGACUGAGAGCGACCUCUCAACGUGCUAAUAGCAACCAGACCCAAUAUAAUUGAUCAAUGGACCAAGCUACCCCAGGGAUAACAGCGCAAUCUCCUCCGAGAGUCCGUAUCGACGAGGAGGUUUACGACCUCGAUGUUGGAUCAGGACAUCCUAGUGGUGCAGCCGCUACUAAGGGUUC
Molecule: ribosomal RNA, 507 nt
Filed under: Terpsiphone paradisi
Lineage: Eukaryota; Metazoa; Chordata; Aves; Passeriformes; Monarchidae
Description: partial 16S ribosomal RNA
Rfam family: Bacterial large subunit ribosomal RNA
Source: RNAcentral